GUAGUCCACGCCGUAAACGAUGAGUGCUAGGUGUUAGGGGUUUCGAUACCCUUGGUGCCGAAGUUAACACAUUAAGCACUCCGCCUGGGGAGUACGGUCGCAAGACUGAAACUCAAAGGAAUUGACGGGGACCCGCACAAGCAGUGGAGUAUGUGGUUUAAUUCGAAGCAACGCGAAGAACCUUACCAGGUCUUGACAUCCCUCUGAAUCCACUAGAGAUAGUGGCGGCCUUCGGGACAGAGGAGACAGGUGGUGCAUGGUUGUCGUCAGCUCGUGUCGUGAGAUGUUGGGUUAAGUCCCGCAACGAGCGCAACCCUUAUAUUUAGUUGCCAGCACAUUAUGGUGGGCACUCUAGAUAGACUGCCGGUGACAAACCGGA
RNAcentral lists this ribosomal RNA (379 nucleotides) under uncultured bacterium. Its description in RNAcentral is "bacterial SSU rRNA". It matches the Rfam family "Bacterial small subunit ribosomal RNA", at positions 790 to 1167 of the family's 1533-position model. The record is from RNAcentral.